Molecule: ribosomal RNA, 486 nt
Filed under: uncultured bacterium
Lineage: Bacteria
Description: bacterial SSU rRNA
Rfam family: Bacterial small subunit ribosomal RNA
Source: RNAcentral
AUUGAACGCUGGCGGAAUGCUUUACACAUGCAAGUCGAACGGCAGCAUAGGUGCUUGCACCUGAUGGCGAGUGGCGAACGGGUGAGUAAUACAUCGGAACGUGCCCAGUCGUGGGGGAUAACGUAGCGAAAGUUACGCUAAUACCGCAUACGAUCUACGGAUGAAAGCGGGGGACCGUAAGGCCUCGCGCGAUUGGAGCGGCCGAUGUUAGAUUAGGUAGUUGGUGGGGUAAAGGCUCACCAAGCCGACGAUCUAUAGCUGGUCUGAGAGGAUGAUCAGCCACACUGGGACUGAGACACGGCCCAGACUCCUACGGGAGGCAGCAGUGGGGAAUUUUGGACAAUGGGCGCAAGCCUGAUCCAGCCAUUCCGCGUGCAGGAUGAAGGCCCUCGGGUUGUAAACUGCUUUUGUACGGAACGAAAAGGCUCUUCCUAAUACGAGGGGCUCAUGACGGUACCGUAAGAAUAAGCACCGGCUAACUACGUG